This 288-nucleotide ribosomal RNA is filed under the name Triticum aestivum (bread wheat). RNAcentral describes it as "partial small subunit ribosomal RNA". Lineage: Eukaryota; Viridiplantae; Streptophyta; Magnoliopsida; Poales; Poaceae. The record is from RNAcentral.
AUGAGCUGCCUAAGUUGGAACUGCCGGGGGCUUGGGAACCCCGGGGCAGUUCGAGAGCUUUGCAACAUUGUGAAGCAAGAAGCGCCCGGUCUCCUGUUUGUUAUGGAGAACAAGAUAGCUGCAUCAAGAGUAGAAAGCUUGAAGACCUCUUUGGGGUUUACAGGUUGUUUUGCAGUUAAUAGUGUGGGUCUCAGUGGAGGGAUUGCUAUGUUUUGGACGUCUGAGCUAGAUGUUGAGCUAAAGAACUAUAGUUCCGCCCAUAGAUGUUAUGGUGCGGAGGGGGAAUAA